Long non-coding RNA from Lycium barbarum (goji berry), 6387 nucleotides. RefSeq lists it as uncharacterized. Lineage: Eukaryota; Viridiplantae; Streptophyta; Magnoliopsida; Solanales; Solanaceae. The record is from RefSeq and is a predicted model, not a curated record. The transcript has 2 exons.
UCAAAUAAAGUAGGAAAUUGAGGGCAAACCCUAACACUUUUUGCAAGACCAUUUAAUUUGUGGAUGAGUGGAUCCUAUUGGUUAUCCACUUUGUAUUUGAAUUUGCAUCAUUUGUGACUCACAAAAAGAGAAUUUUUUCCUUCACAAAGUUCAACUUCAAGAGCUCUAAUUAAUGAAAAGUGCAGAUUUUCCUUCAUCCCACCAUACUUCAUCCUUAGUAUGAAUGGAGGAGUCCAUGACAUUUUGCACCCUUAAUGUGUGUUUUUUUUUUUUUUUUUUCAACUUGCACCCUAUCCUAUUUUUUUUAUUAUUAUGAUUUAAACUCCAAUCUCUUUAUUUCCUUGCAAAAUAAUAAAAACAUCCUUUUUAUAAAUUUAUCAUGAGGGCAAAAUAGGAAUACAAAUAAUAUAUAAUAAAAAAUAAAUUACGAAAACUUAAAAGAGAGCUCACCACAUACAUUUCUCUCUCUUUCCGUCUCUAAAAUAAAAUGGGUUCUUUGCAGCUUAAGACCAAUAGAAGCAAAAUACCAACAAAAUUUAAAAAGCAAAAAAUCAGCUAGAUCUACAGAUCACUCUAUCUUCUUCCUCUCCGCCUAUUCAUCAACUUGGAAUGGAUCUCCAGCUGAAUCUACAACCAUCGAAAAAACCAAUGUUUCCUCGGCCCAUCGAUUUCAAAUUAAUUUCUGUCGUUUCAUGACUGCGGUAGAAAUAGAAGCAUGUUUGUCUUUAGUUUAGUGAUUGGAUCUGACCUUUUGCUUGAAAUCGAUCAACAAGAAAAUAGGCAAAGCUAUAUCGGGUUCUCUUCUGUUUCCUCGGCCCAUCGUUUUCUGUCGUUUAAUACUCUCUGCAUAUGUAUUAGUAAUGGAAAAUAGGCAAAGUUACAUCGUGUUCUCUUCUGUUUCAGCUGGCUUCUUUAAUGCUUGAUUUUUAGCUCAAAUGAAGCAAUCAGUUUACAUUCGCCGAAAAAAGCAAUAAACGAUGCAAUAAUUAACAACUACAACAUUUCUCGUCUUAUCGAACAGGUUAUUUCUUAUCAACACAUUCACGUUUUUUAUCUCCUCCUUUUGCUUUCUUUAGUGUGUAGUUUAGAUGGGUUUUUUUUGGGUAAUAUGUUUGAGGUUCAUGUAUGUGUUCCAUAAUUUUCUUUCUGAAAGAUUGAUGUGGUUCUUCUCUCUUUUGGGAUAAAACAAGUAGAUGGGUGCAAUCGAACUAUAUUUCUCUGUGUAAUUUUAACUGAAUGCAUACUCUAAAUCCUUUAUUCAGCUGCUGAAUUUUAGUUUAGUAGGAGUUGGUAGUUGAUGGUCAGUAAACAAGCUAAAACUGGCUCUGAUUAUAGAAUUGUUGUGUCUUCUUAAGAAAUGUGGCAGCUCUAUGCUUCUUUGGGACUGAUUCUGGUGCAUAGCAUUGAGUUGUAUCUAAGAGACAAAUGUGCUCAUAGGCCAACUGAAACUGGUAAACAACAUUAAUAUAAUAAUUAAAAUGCUUCUACUAGAUCAUACAAUUUAUUUGGUAAAGCUAGAAUUACGCUUGUAUCUAGAAAAGCAGCUCUUUUACCAACUUACUCUUUAGGAUUUGUUGAAGCCAAAAAGAAUUUAGAGAAGUUAUACAUGUCUAUAUUCAUUGAGUUCGAGCAAUAGAAUAUCAUAUAAAGUAUUUCAUAAAUUAGUAGUAUUUAAAUUAUAAAGGAAAAAUGACAAACUUGUAACAAUGAGACCUCCAAAUGUUUAGCAACUAUUGAUAGAGAAAUAUCUCUUAAAAUAAAAAAAUAGCUUUGAAAAUAAAAUUUAUUGUUGUUGCAGUUCUUCAUUUGUUAAUUGCUUCUAUUUUCUUCCUUGUCAAAGCUCUUAUUGUUGGACUUCAUUGAAGCACUUGUAUUUUGAAGGCUUUGUAAGCUAAUACAAUUUUUUCCAUUCCAAUUGUACUUCUCAGCAUUUAUCACAAUACUGCCAACUUGAGCUUGUGCAGGCAUCUGAGAUGAACCGUCCUCCGCUGGCCUUCUUGGCUGUGAAUUAAAAAAAAAAAAAAAACUGUAACUGUCUUUCAAAGAAUUAAAUCACUAAUAUCUAAGGUUCCAUGCUUACAUUGAGUUUAGAAGGUUCAUUUAUAUGCCCAAUUCAAUUGGUGGACUCAAAAUGGAUUUGCUUACUUAGGUGGGAUUGACUUGUAGCAUUUUGUGACCAACCUCGAGUUGUUGGAAUAGCUUGAGGUGGAGCUGCUGAAUUCAGAGAAUCACUAUUCUUCUUGCAAGUUGUUUUAUUGUGACCAAUUUGCAAGCACCUGCUGCACCUCCCUAACCUCCCUUUCUUACUUAAUUUAGUAACAUUUGUGGCUGCUGCAUUCAAGUCAUUUGAUGCAGAUUGUUUUCUCUUUUUCUCUCUUCUCUGUUUUUCAUCUCAACAGCUUUUCUCUUGGAGGCUUCAAUUUCAUCAGGUUCUUUUCUUCUAUUUUUGUUCAACUUACCUUUCUUUGGCUCAUAAGUAGGAGGUUGAAUGGGAAGUAGAUCAAUAGUUUCCCACAUACCAGGUCCGUCCAUAGGAGCAAUGACUGGCUCAUAAAUCCUCAUUUGAGUAGCCUUCUUGUAACAAUCAUUUAUGAAAUUUUCUGGAUUCUCUCGUAUACUGAAUAUGCAGCUUAUUGCAUGUGCGCAUGGGAUUCCUGUAAGGUCCCAUUCCCUGCAAGAACAGGUUCUCCCAUUCAAGUCAACACUAAACUGUUCACCAUACAUAGUUUUUACUUAAAAUAGAAAUUGUCUAGCCCAAGUAGGAAUUGAUGCAGAUGCUUCUUUUUUUCUUUUCUUCUACUAAUUUCCGAAUUCGAGGGCAUAAACUUCCUGUUAUAGUAAGAAAUUGUUAACUUCCAUGUUAAAUAUUUUGUAUUUCAGACAAGUUGCAGUAACAUUACCUUGGUACUGGAGCACCUCCCUCUUUUGAUUCAUUCUUUUCAUCAGGUAUACUCUAAUUCCUUCCAGCAAUCCAAGUAUAGGUUUCUCCCUUGUUUUUAAAAUUAAUUUUAUCCCAUUGAAUGACUCACAAAGAUUAUUCAAAAGUAUAUCACACUUUGUUGUUGUUCUAAAAUGCGACUUGCUCCAGAAUUUGGGUGGUUUAUCGUUGAACCAGUUUCUAGCUUCUUUAUCCUCCUUUUCCAACAUAUCCAUCUCAUAUCUGUACUUACUUACAUAAGUUGCCUUAGCAUCUUUCCAAACUCGUCUCCAAUGAUAAACCUUUAUGCACUUUCUUGAAAUUGUUGUACAAAUGUCUUACACAAUGCAUGUGCUCCACUUGAGGAACAAUCUCAUAAAUAGCUCCCUCCAAACCCUAUGAAAGAGAUAUAAUUAGUUUUUCAUAAUUGAAGGCAAUUAGAAUUUGAUAGUUGAAGUGAAGAAUCUUGCCUUUUGCUUGUCUGUAAUGAGACACAAGUUAUCAUGAUUUCUAAUUCGCAAGUCAUCCACUAGAAAAUUUAAAAACCACUUCCAGUUAUGCUUGUCUUCAACAUCAACUACAACAUAGGCUAUUGGGAACAUACCAUUAUCAGCAUCUAUCCCAAUUGCUAUCAAACGUUGACCACCAUAUGGUCCUUUAGGAAAGUAACCAUCCAUCCCAAUAAGUGGCCUACAACCUGCCUUCCAACCUUUUUUGCAGGGCUCAAGACAUAUGUAAAUUCUUUCAAAAAUAGGUUUGCCAUCCUCUUCAUUGGCUAUUGUUUCUAACAAUAUAGUUGAUCCUGGAUUCUUUUUCUUGAGUUUUGCACAGUAGUCCUCUAAUUUUGCAUAUUGUUCUUUGUAGUGACCUUCGAUCAUCUCUUUAGCUAUUCUCUUUGCUCUAUAGACUUGACUCACUGAGAUUUCAACAUUCAUCUCUUCAUGUAUUUUCUCCAUGAAAUCACCUACUGAUUCAUCUGGAUGUUUUCUUAAAUAAUGUAGGUAUGUUUUGGCAAUCAUCCUAGAUUUGACAUGUUUGUUGGCAUAAACAAACAAACAAACAAUCAUCAGAAUGUUUCCCAACCAAAGUUUUUACUCGAUGGUAGGGUCAUCUGGUGCCUUUCUAGAGGCAUAUAUACACCAUAGACAUCCAUCACAAUAUUUUGCAGAAAUUUUACCAGACUCAUUCUUUUUAAAGGAAAUGUUUCUAUUGUUUUUAACAGAGUAAGCUCUCAAAGCAGCUCUAAAUUCUGUUGCAUUGAUGAAUGUCAUUCCCAAUAUAAAUUCUGGAUUAGCCAUCUCUAUAUCUGCCCUAAAUGCAACAUUUUCAACCUGAUCAUCAUCACCAUUAAUAUUCCCCAUGUCAUCCGAUUCAUCAUUUUUAGAAGAGAUGUUAUCAUCCUCAGCUUCUGAACUUGAGUCCUCCAAUAAUAACCCUGCAAAAUUGGUACCCUUAGUUUCUUCCAUCAAUUUAUCUUUCCUUGUUUUCCUUCCCUUUUCUCCUCUUUGCUGCACCAACUUCACCACUCCCUGUUAGAUUUUUGUUUUCAUCCUCCUUUCGUUUAAUUCUUUCUUUCCCUUUCAGUUGCACAGUUGCCUUUUCUUUUCCAGUGCUAUCCCAUAUUCCAAGCCAUUCACUGUCUGAAUCCAUCUCCAAACAAUUCAACUCUUCUUCACUUUCAUUCAUAUUUUCAAAAUGCUCCAAUUCUUGGUCAAUAUCAUUAUUCUUAUCCCCGCUACAUUCUGCUCUUUCCAAUUCAAAGUCGUCUAAGUUAAUACUUAUCUUUGUAGAUUGGAAAUAUGAUUAUCUCCACCAGCUUUAAACGCACCCAAAUCUGUUUGCACCCAUUAUCCUCACAAACGUUAUUAGCAUUGGAGCUUACUUGACUCUGUAAUUUUAACACAUUAUCAUCUUGCGUAAUGUAUACUUCAGCAACUCUGUUAGUUGGAAGAGUGUUUACCAUUAGAUCACAAUCAACAUCAGUCAAGCAUUGAAUAUAACCAGCACCAGUGUCCGUCAUAGGUAGUUUGAAGUGCCAACCGAGAAUAUCAUUGUAGCCUAAUUUUGUUGUUCCAAUCAAGUUUAAGGUUUGCAAUGACCAUAUAUGUGGAUCACACUUGUCAAUAUAAACAACAGAACCUCCCAAAUAAAUCCUUUCUGGUACAUUAACAAAUUCACCUCCAUGGUGAAUCUUCAGUGUAAAAAGUCCAUCAUCCUUACCUGUUACAAUGCAACAUAUAAGACUAUUUUAGCAAACAAAUAAUUUCUAAAUAAAAUCAAACAACAAACAAAUUGAAGAACUACAUUUGAUACCAGAAUAUUCAAUAAAUUUUACAAUUAGGAUGUUUGUUUAACCAAAAUAACCUGCAAGGGAGAGGCUAUUCCAUGUGCAGCAGAUGCUUUUUUUGUAACAGGGAGCAGGAGUCAGUUGAGCAUUUGUUUCUGCAUUGCAAUUUCUCAAGACAAUGUUGGGAAUUGUUUCUGACCAUUAUGGGUGUCUCUGGUUAUACCACAGAAGAUCAACAAUCUGUUGGAAAUUUGGCAAGAUCAAAGAGUAAAAAGAAGUAUGAAAAGAUAUGGAGGACUAUUCCCAUUUGCAUAUUAUGGACUGUUUGGCUGGAAAGGAACAAGACAUGCUUUGAGGCGAAAAGACUGCAGAUUGAUAGAGUCAAAAAACAAAUGUAUCAAAAACUUUUUUUUUUGUGUUACAGCAGUACUCUAGAUAGGAUGGACCAAUAUUUGGACUUUUUGGAUCUUUUUUAGGGUUGGGGGGGGGGGGGGGGGGAUGUAGUAUGAUUGUUGAGAUGUGAUAGCUUUGUCUUGUACUUGGUCCUGUACCAUCUUGGUACCAUAUUAAUAAAACUUUUACUUAUCAAAAAGAAAAAAAAAAUACAAUUAGGAUAACUAGAUUGAAGGAGGGAAUGAAGAGGAGGAGUAUUCACAAGGGAGAAGCAGUUUAAAGCAGAGACAACUCCAAGUGAGGUUGAAUACAAGCACCAUCCCACAACUUUGCACUCCAAAACAGAGAAUAAAGGCAAAGACUCCAACAAAAAGAGGCAGGAGAAUAGUGAAAUCACAAUAAGAUAUAAUGACACAAGAAUUUUGUGCAACAAGUGCAGGCCAAACAAUAGAGAGAAAAGCCACUGUGGUUGCAUCACACCAAGAUUAUUAUAUUCAUCAUAAGUUGGGUCCUCUUCUUUACGAGAAUGGUAAGUUCAAAUCAGGUCCUCUGUAAUUUGGUUAAAAAAAUCCAAGAUUAUUAUCAUCAUCAUAAGUUGGGUCCUCUUCUGGUGGAGGAUUAAGAGAGGAACAAUGCAAAAUUCGAGUGGUUGAGCUUUCACAUAAGCUAAUUCCAAGAUUGAAGUUUUCUAUAGUUGAGCUUGAGAAAUGUAAACGAGCUUGAAAUUUACUGUCACAACUUGAAAUUCAAGUAUUGCAUCUUGACUCAGUUUAAGGAAUUUCAUUUGGUA